RNAcentral lists this ribosomal RNA (1050 nucleotides) under Weissella paramesenteroides. Its description in RNAcentral is "bacterial SSU rRNA". It matches the Rfam family "Bacterial small subunit ribosomal RNA", at positions 434 to 1477 of the family's 1533-position model. The record is from RNAcentral. Lineage: Bacteria; Bacillati; Bacillota; Bacilli; Lactobacillales; Lactobacillaceae.
UAUAAAGAGAAGAACGGCCACUGAGAGUAACUGUUCCAGUGUGUGACGGUAUCUUACCAGAAAGGAACGGCUAAAUACGUGCCAGCAGCCGCGGUAAUACGUAUGUUCCAAGCGUUAUCCGGAUUUAUUGGGCGUAAAGCGAGCGCAGACGGUUAUUUAAGUCUGAAGUGAAAGCCCUCAGCUCAACUGAGGAAUGGCUUUGGAAACUGGAUGACUUGAGUGCAGUAGAGGAAAGUGGAACUCCAUGUGUAGCGGUGAAAUGCGUAGAUAUAUGGAAGAACACCAGUGGCGAAGGCGGCUUUCUGGACUGUAACUGACGUUGAGGCUCGAAAGUGUGGGUAGCAAACAGGAUUAGAUACCCUGGUAGUCCACACCGUAAACGAUGAGUGCUAGAUGUUCGAGGGUUUCCGCCCUUGAGUGUCGCAGCUAACGCAUUAAGCACUCCGCCUGGGGAGUACGACCGCAAGGUUGAAACUCAAAGGAAUUGACGGGGACCCGCACAAGCGGUGGAGCAUGUGGUUUAAUUCGAAGCAACGCGAAGAACCUUACCAGGUCUUGACAUCCCUUGCUAAUCCUAGAAAUAGGACGUUCCCUUCGGGGACAAGGUGACAGGUGGUGCAUGGUUGUCGUCAGCUCGUGUCGUGAGAUGUUGGGUUAAGUCCCGCAACGAGCGCAACCCUUAUUAUUAGUUGCCAGCAUUCAGUUGGGCACUCUAGUGAGACUGCCGGUGACAAACCGGAGGAAGGUGGGGAUGACGUCAAAUCAUCAUGCCCCUUAUGACCUGGGCUACACACGUGCUACAAUGGCAUAUACAACGAGUCGCCAACCCGCGAGGGUGCGCUAAUCUCUUAAAGUAUGUCUCAGUUCGGAUUGUAGGCUGCAACUCGCCUACAUGAAGUCGGAAUCGCUAGUAAUCGCGGAUCAGCACGCCGCGGUGAAUACGUUCCCGGGUCUUGUACACACCGCCCGUCACACCAUGAGAGUUUGUAACACCCAAAGCCGGUGGGGUAACCUUUAGGAGCCAGCCGUCUAAGUGGACAGAGAUGGGAA